UGUGUGACUGCGUACCUUUUGUAUAAUGGGUCAGCGACUUAUAUUCUGUAGCAAGGUUAACCGAAUAGGGGAGCCGGAGGGAAACCGAGUCUUAAUUGGGCGUUAAGUUGCAGGGUAUAGACCCGAAACCCGGUGAUCUAGCCAUGGGCAGGUUGAAGGUUGGGUAACACUAACUGGAGGACCGAACCGACUAAUGUUGAAAAAUUAGCGGAUGACCUGUGGCUGGGGGUGAAAGGCCAAUCAAACCGGGAGAUAGCUGGUUCUCCCCGAAAGCUAUUUAGGUAGCGCCUCGUGAAUUCAUCUCCGGGGGUAGAGCACUGUUUCGGCUAGGGGGCCAUCCCGGCUUACCAACCCGAUGCAAACUGCGAAUACCGGAGAAUGUUAUCACGGGAGACACACGGCGGGUGCUAACGUCCGUCGUGAAGAGGGAAACAACCCAGACCGCCAGCUAAGGUCCCAAAGUCAUGGUUAAGUGGGAAACGAUGUGGGAAGGCCCAGACAGCCAGGAUGUUGGCUUAGAAGCAGCCAUCAUUUAAAGAAAGCGUAAUAGCUCACUGGUCGAGUCGGCCUGCGCGGAAGAUGUAACGGGGCUAAACCAU
This 599-nucleotide ribosomal RNA is filed under the name Salmonella enterica. RNAcentral's name for it is "partial 23S ribosomal RNA". It matches the Rfam family "Bacterial large subunit ribosomal RNA", at positions 590 to 1190 of the family's 2925-position model. RNAcentral also lists the same sequence under 1 other name. Lineage: Bacteria; Pseudomonadati; Pseudomonadota; Gammaproteobacteria; Enterobacterales; Enterobacteriaceae. The record is from RNAcentral.